Long non-coding RNA from Daphnia magna, 459 nucleotides. RefSeq lists it as uncharacterized. The record is from RefSeq and is a predicted model, not a curated record. Lineage: Eukaryota; Metazoa; Arthropoda; Branchiopoda; Diplostraca; Daphniidae. The transcript has 3 exons.
GAAAAAUAUGUUAAACUUUACAUGAACCAACACAACCUUACAAACUUUACAUGCCGUUCGAGGAGAGCCUAGCCGACAAAGACAAGUAUUUUAAACUGACCGCAUUAAUCCGUGGCAUUGGAGGAUCAUCUAUGUCAGACGCAAUUAAACGGGCGUGGACUAAAAUUUUUCUCUCAAAGUGAGAGCUGGAUGUAAUUGGGAAGGGAAAUUGCGUAAUGGAAUUCGCAAACACGGUCUCGACAAAUCGCCAAUUACUCGUGCAAUCUUCGAGGGCGUAAAAGGUGUUCCUCAAUUUAGGAACGCCAAACAGAGUGAGCUGGAAUGGGAAACAAAAGAAUUUAAUGAAAAGAUCCCCAGAACAAGUAAGAUCAGAAGAGGCAGCUGCACCUGGCAACGAUCAAAUUGAUGAACCACCAGCCGAAGGGGAGACAGUUCACGUUGAUCAACCGCCAAAUUGAA